Long non-coding RNA from Zonotrichia leucophrys gambelii, 1811 nucleotides. RefSeq lists it as uncharacterized. Lineage: Eukaryota; Metazoa; Chordata; Aves; Passeriformes; Passerellidae. The record is from RefSeq and is a predicted model, not a curated record. The transcript has 3 exons.
AGAGAUGGAGUUUGUUGGCUGGGCUGUGAAGAUGCUGGAGUCAGUGCUGUGAGGAGCUGCAUGUGAUAGAUCACUGAGAAGGGUGAGGCAGAGCAGUCAGGCUCCUUCAAAUCCAAGCAUGAAGUGGGUGAGCCAAAGGAUUCACCGCUGCCCAGAGAGCAUCACACCUCCACUAGCCUAAAAAUACUGGAGUGUUUAAUAUGAGUCCACUGACUGGAGCCUGGGGUCCAAGCAGAGCUGGGGAGAGCAGGCAUGCUCUGAGCAUCAUGGUGCUGCAGGGUGAGAUAUGGGUAUGAAUGAAGCUUUCCCUUUUUGUUCCUUUUUGACCACUUCUGCUGAAACCAACCUGCUGAGAAACACUGAGGGCUAGCAGAGGUGUUAUGACAGCCCUUGUGCCUCCUAAGUUAAAAAAACCAGUUGGGUCAUUCCCAAGCAGGAGUGAAGAUGCCAUCUCCCCUAUCUUAACCACUAAGGUUUAAGAAGAGCAGAGAGAGAAGUCUUAAAAUAUCUUGACACCAGAAUUUCAGGAAGAAGAAAAGGAAAAGCCAGGGAAAGGAGGGAUGUGCUGAGCUGUAGCAGCACGUGGGCAGCCCCUGUGCUGGCACAGGCAGCCCGGCCCUGGUGACGGUGUGGGUGCUCGUGACUUCACCCCGGCUGGCCGCACUGCAGCUGGGUGUCUCCAGCUGUUUGACAUUCCCCUUCCUCCUCCCCAAGGCCGAGACGUCUGUCUGUCCACAUCCCGCCCAUGUCUGGAGCCAGCAGCUCCAAAGGGGAGCAGAAGGAGCCGGCGGAGUUUCCCCGCUCCGCUGCCUUUGUGUGCAAACCGGGUUUAUCUGUAUUGUUUGGCCAGCGCCAGCAAAUUACAGCCUGCCUAAUGCGUCGUUAGGGAGAGGCAAUUAAAUACCAACCCAACGAGUAUUGCGGCCAGCGUGACUGGCGAGAAACAGCUGCAACCUGCAUGGCAGCUGGGACAGACGGGUGGAAAACACCAGCCUCUCUAUUUGUGUCUUUAUUUGUGCCUUUGCUCUACCCUCUGCCGUGCCUGGCUGGGUGAAACCUGUGCAGGGCAGGGCAGGGUUAGGCAGCGAUUGUGCCUGGAUCCGGUGAGUUUUCUCUGGUUUGACUCCAGCCCAGUGGCUGGUGGUGCCCAUCCUGUGUGGUGCUGGGUCAGGUCACCAGAGGUCACAGGACUUUGCUUUUCCCCUGCAGAGCAUUCCUCCUGCUGCUUUGCAGCCCUGUGGGCUGUUCUUGCAGGCACAUCCUGUACAUCCCUCUAGGAUUUAGGGCUCCAGCUCAGUCUCCCAUCAAAUCCCCCCUGGUUUUCUAUGGCAUCGUCUUCAGUGCCCUUGUGCCCGAGCUCCUGACACCGAGCUUGUGUCAGUGCCACCCACCUGCAGCCUCCUGUGCUGUCCCCAGGUGAGGUUUUCUGUCCCCUUCCUGCUUCAUCUGCCAUGAUCAACAGCACAUUCACAUCUCUGUUCCUCAGCCUCCAGUGCUGAAUCACCCCAAGUGUUUUGUACACCACCAAUCCUGUUGCUAAUCCUGGACACCCUAAUGAAUCACUUUUUCUCCCCAGAUGCUGUGAGCACUCAUGGGGAGGGAGCCAUUUUGCUGUGGCCUGGAGUGUUUUCUUAGUGUUAUACAAAUAAACAGGGGUGGGUUUGAAUCGGGAUCUUUGGAAUCAACUUCCUGCAGGUGCUGAAAGAAUUUCUGAGUAGAUUUAGAGGGCUACCUUUGCAAACAGCAUCUUUAAGAAUCACUGAAGUGAUGUUCAUGUGAAGUGCUCUGGCACCAGAAGCAGGUGACGAGAA